RNAcentral lists this ribosomal RNA (466 nucleotides) under uncultured bacterium. RNAcentral's name for it is "partial 16S ribosomal RNA". It matches the Rfam family "Bacterial small subunit ribosomal RNA", at positions 28 to 507 of the family's 1533-position model. The record is from RNAcentral.
GAUGAACGCUGGCGGCGUGCUUAACACAUGCAAGUCGAACGAUGAAGCCCAGCUUGCUGGGUGGAUUAGUGGCGAACGGGUGAGUAACACGUGAGUAACCUGCCCUUAACUCUGGGAUAAGCCUGGGAAACUGGGUCUAAUACCGGAUAGGAGCGUCCACCGCAUGGUGGGUGUUGGAAAGAUUUAUCGGUUUUGGAUGGACUCGCGGCCUAUCAGCUUGUUGGUGAGGUAAUGGCUCACCAAGGCGACGACGGGUAGCCGGCCUGAGAGGGUGACCGGCCACACUGGGACUGAGACACGGCCCAGACUCCUACGGGAGGCAGCAGUGGGGAAUAUUGCACAAUGGGCGAAAGCCUGAUGCAGCGACGCCGCGUGAGGGAUGACGGCCUUCGGGUUGUAAACCUCUUUCAGCAGGGAAGAAGCGAAAGUGACGGUACCUGCAGAAGAAGCACCGGCUAACUACGUG